AUUAAUUUAAUGGCUGCAGUAUUUUAACUGUACAAAGGUAGCAUAAUAAUUAGUUCCUUAAUUAGGGACUGGAAUGAAGGAUUGAACGAGAUAAAAAUUGUCUCUUUUUAAAUUUUAUAAUUUUAUUUUUAAGUUAAAAAGCUUAAAUAUUAUUAAAAGACGAGAAGACCCUAUAGAGUUUUAUAAUUAUAAUAUAAAUAAAUUUUAGUAAUAAAAUUUUAUUUAUACAAUGAUUAUUUGGUUGGGGUGAUUUUAAAAUUUAAAAAACUUUAAUAUAAUUUACAUUAAUAUAUGAAUAAUUGAUCCAUAAUUUAUGAUUAAAAGAUUAAAUUACCUUAGGGAUAACAGCGUAAUUUUUUUAAAGAGUUCUAAUCGAAAAAAAAGAUUGCGACCUCGAUGUUGGAUUAAAAUAAAUUUUUGGUGUAGAAGCUGAAAUAUUAGGUCUGUUCGACCUUUAAAAUUUUACAUGAUCUGAGUUUAAAUCGGCGUGAGCCAGGUUGGUUUCUAUCUUUAAUUAAAUAAAAUAUUUUAGUACGAAAGGACCAUAUAUUUAUAAUGUUUAUUUAUUUAUGAUUAAUAUUA
RNAcentral lists this ribosomal RNA (582 nucleotides) under Ptomaphagus chromolithus. RNAcentral's name for it is "partial 16S ribosomal RNA". The stretch from base 341 to 499 matches the Rfam family "Bacterial large subunit ribosomal RNA", at positions 2473 to 2632 of the family's 2925-position model. RNAcentral also lists the same sequence under 1 other name. The record is from RNAcentral. Lineage: Eukaryota; Metazoa; Arthropoda; Insecta; Coleoptera; Leiodidae.